AGUGAACGCUGGCGGUAGGCCUAACACAUGCAAGUCGAACGGCAGCACAGUAAGAGCUUGCUCUUACGGGUGGCGAGUGGCGGACGGGUGAGGAAUACAUCGGAAUCUACUUUUUCGUGGGGGAUAACGUAGGGAAACUUACGCUAAUACCGCAUAUGACCUACGGGUGAAAGCAGGGGAUCUUCGGACCUUGCGCGAUUGAAUGAGCCGAUGUCGGAUUAGCUAGUUGGCGGGGUAAAGGCCCACCAAGGCGACGAUCCGUAGCUGGUCUGAGAGGAUGAUCAGCCACACUGGAACUGAGACACGGUCCAGACUCCUACGGGAGGCAGCAGUGGGGAAUAUUGGACAAUGGGCGCAAGCCUGAUCCAGCCAUACCGCGUGGGUGAAGAAGGCCUUCGGGUUGUAAAGCCCCUUUGUUGGGAAAGAAAAGCAGCAGGUUAAUACCCCGCUGUUCUGACGGUACCCAAAGAAUAAGCACCGGCUAACUUCGUG
RNAcentral lists this ribosomal RNA (492 nucleotides) under uncultured bacterium. RNAcentral describes it as "partial 16S ribosomal RNA". It matches the Rfam family "Bacterial small subunit ribosomal RNA", at positions 29 to 507 of the family's 1533-position model. The record is from RNAcentral.